RNAcentral lists this ribosomal RNA (922 nucleotides) under uncultured bacterium. Its description in RNAcentral is "bacterial SSU rRNA". It matches the Rfam family "Bacterial small subunit ribosomal RNA", at positions 532 to 1454 of the family's 1533-position model. The record is from RNAcentral.
UCCCGAGCGUUNUCCGGAUUUAUUGGGCGUAAAGGGAGCNCAGGCGGUCAGGAAGGUCUGGAGUAAAGGGCUAUGGCUCAACCAUAGUGUGCUNUGGAAACUGUCUGACUUGAGUGCAGAAGGGGAGAGUGGAAUUCCAUGUGUAGCGGUGAAAUGCGUAGAUAUAUGGAGGAACACCAGUGGCGAAAGCGGCUCUCUGGUCUGUCACUGACGCUGAGGCUCGAAAGCGUGGGUAGCGAACAGGAUUAGAUACCCUGGUAGUNCACGCCGUAAACGAUGAGUGCUAGGUGUUAGGCCCUUUCCGGGGCUUAGUGCCGGAGCUAACGCAAUAAGCACUCCGCCUGGGGAGUACGACCGCAAGGUUGAAACUCAAAGGAAUUGACGGGGGCCCGCACAAGCGGUGGAGCAUGUGGUUUAAUUCGAAGCAACGCGAAGAACCUUACCAGGUCUUGACAUCCCGAUGUUAUUCUUAGAGAUAGGAAGUUACUUCGGUACAUCGGAGACAGGUGGUGCAUGGUUGUCGUCAGCUCGUGUCGUGAGAUGUUGGGUUAAGUCCCGCAACGAGCGCAACCCUUAUUGUUAGUUGCCAUCAUUAAGUUGGGCACUCUAGCGAGACUGCCGGUAAUAAACCGGAGGAAGGUGGGGAUGACGUCAAAUCAUCAUGCCCCUUAUGACCUGGGCUACACACGUGCUACAAUGGUCGGUACAACGAGUUGCGAGCCGGUGACGGCAAGCUAAUCUCUGAAAGCCGAUCUCAGUUCGGAUUGGAGGCUGCAACUCGCCUCCAUGAAGUCGGAAUCGCUAGUAAUCGCGGAUCAGCACGCCGCGGUGAAUACGUUCCCGGGCCUUGUACACACCGCCCGUCACACCACGAGAGUUUGUAACACCCGAAGUCGGUGAGGUAACCUUUUAGGGGCCAGCC